UUCCUGGACACAUUGCUAGAAAUUGUGUUCAUCGCCCAAACGUGCAACAAGAUGUUAAUACUAAAUCUUGUGCUGAUGUUUGUGAGCCGGUUCACAAGAAGCGAAAGGAGCUAAAACGAGCAGAUCAAAAUCGAGGGUACAAGAAGUCUGCUUGUCCUCAUAAGUCUCGUGACAAGGUGAAUGAAAGCUCCAAUCAAGGAUAUACCCAACUCGAAUCCUAGCCCGGUUUGUAAGUACUUUGUUGGUGUUGCUGUUUUGUUCAGGAUUUAAGUAGCCAGGUUAGUACAUACACAUUAAACAAGUUCCGUAGGAAUAUGUACUUUCCCCUUUUUGGGUAUUUUUUUCAUCAUACUUUGUUUUUAUUUUUUUUUAUAUAUAGCUUGUAUUAAUUUUUAAGCAUAGGUAAGUAAGUUUUCUAUUAUGUACAAACUUUUAAAUGUAGUAUGUCAAGUCGUAAGCGACAAUGGGUGUCCUGUACUGUAUUGUCUGAUACCGCUUCGACUUCUACUGGACUACACGCUUAUACUUCUUAUCUAGACAA
Molecule: long non-coding RNA, 541 nt
Filed under: Helianthus annuus (common sunflower)
Lineage: Eukaryota; Viridiplantae; Streptophyta; Magnoliopsida; Asterales; Asteraceae
Source: RNAcentral